This is an RNA transcript of Symphalangus syndactylus (siamang), 4101 nucleotides long. It is a transcript of the gene named RPA interacting protein, with no coding region annotated. NCBI's taxonomy places the organism in Eukaryota, Metazoa, Chordata, Mammalia, Primates, Hylobatidae. The record is from RefSeq and is a predicted model, not a curated record.
GGGGUCUGUGCGCGCCGCCACGGGAGGGGCCUUGCGGCGUUGUCUCGCGCGAAAAGGAGAUGGCGGAGUCGUUGAGGUCUCCGCGCCGCUCCCUGUACAAACUGGUGGGCUCGCCGCCUUGGAAAGAGGCUUUCCGGCAGAGAUGCCUGGAGAGAAUGAGAAACAGCCGGGACAGGCUCCUAAACAGGUACCGCCAGGCCGGAAGCAGUGGGCCACGGAAUGCUCAGAACAGCUUUCUAGUGCAAGAGGUGAUGGAAGAAGAGUGGAAUGCUUUGCACUCAGUGGAGAAUUGUCCAGAAGACUUGGCUCAGUUAGAGGAGCUGAUAGACAUGGCUGUGCUGGAGGAAAUUCAACAGGAGCUGAUCAACCAAGAGCAGUCCAUCAUCAGCGAGUAUGAGAAGAGCUUGCAGUUUGAUGAAAAGUGUCUCAGCAUCAUGCUGGCUGAGUGGGAGGCAAACCCACUCAUCUGUCCUGUAUGUACAAAGUACAACCUGAGAAUCACAGGCGGUGUGGUGGUGUGUCAGUGUGGCCUGUCCAUCCCAUCUCACUCUUCUGAGUUGACAGAGCAGAAGCUUCGUGCCUGUUUAGAGGGUAGUAUAAAUGAGCACAGUGCACAUUGUCCCCACACACCUGAAUUUUCAGUCACUGGAGGAACAGAAGAAAAGUCCAGUCUUCUCAUGAGCUGUCUGGUAAGCCUCUCCUGGGACCCAGUCUGUGGUAAGAGGAACCUGUGGUUGGUUUUAUUCCCACCUUGAUAGAAAUAAUGACCUAGAAACAGGUAAAUGUUUAAUGCAGUUUAUUAUCUGAGGAAUUUACUCGCAUGAAAAAGUGAAGGUAACAAGUCAUUUCGACUCAAAGGCCAGUCAGAAAGAAGGGAAGAGGCAGCAUAGGAUCAUGGCAAGAGGAUUGGUCUGGGAGUUAGGACGCCUGGCUCCACACCUGCUCUUCUUAGAUCAGUAGUAGUGGUUUUGGAUUCAGCUGGUCAUUUCAUAGUCAUAAGACCCAGAUAGGCCAUGCUGGCACCACUUUUGCAGAAGAAAACAGGGCAGAAGCAUAGCAGGGCAGCAUUAGGUUUGUCUGUCAGUGGAGUUUUUACAGAGGUCCAAGGGCUAGUCGCUAGCCUGAGUGACAACUGAGGUGUGAGGCCAGGAACACAAGUGGGUAAGGGAACCACUUGUCUUAGAAGUGUGCCAUAGGAACCAAUAUCUCUUAUAAUCCAUGUCAUCUCCAUAUAUGUGUAUGUAUAUAUGUACAUGUGUAUAUAUAUCACACAAACACACAUAAAACCAAAUGAUAUAUAUUAUUAUUGCUUUUAGAUCCCAGGCAGGGGGAGCCUUGGGAUUAGGAGCACACUGUACUUCAGGAAGUUCAUAGCCAUGACCUUCUACUGGGAAUUUAGAAUUCCUUCAUGGUCCUGUCAUUCCAAAUGCAGUUAACCUACAGAGGUCAUUUUUAUUAUAAGCAGCCUUGCCUAGUAACAGCCAUUUCACCUUUAUCAAGUUUCUUCCAUAGGUAUUCUACUCAUUCAUUAAAAAAAACAAUGAAUUGAGGACUCAUAACAUUGAGAAAUACACAUCUCUCACAGAGCUCAAGCCUUGGGUUGGUAAUAAGAGAACAGAAUAAACAGGCAGUACCCUGGAGAGCUGUACAAGGAGGGCUUAUGGGAGUUCGGAGGAGGGUGAUCUCCUUUAUGGUGACACCUUCCUGGAGGAGGCAUUUAACUUGGCCUUGACGCAUGGAAUCGAUUUGGACAGACAUGGAGAUCUGGUGAGUUGUGGGGGUAGAGCUUAAGUGGAAGAUCCCCACAUAGAAGAACAAGGCAGAGAAGCAGGAAACUGGAGUGUAUACAAAGAGCAUCUUGUUCUACUUAGCUGGAGCAUUAGGUUCAUGAGGGAGAGGAUAGUUCCCGUUAGGAAUAGGAAACAGAUUCAGAGAAGUGAUGUAAUCUGGCCAAAAUUUUACUACUAAUAAGCGAUAGAGCUGGUGUUAGACCCCAGGUCUUUGUGGUUCCAGUGCCCCUGCUGUUUCCUGCUCCAGGCUCAGGCCUUGGUGGAAGGAUGCCAUUUUCCAUCAGCUUGUAUGGAAAGAGACACAGCAGGUGAAGUUUAAAUAAAACCCCUCACUACUUCCUGUUGACUACAGGCACAUGUUCCCUUCCGUUCCAGCUAUCCAGCACUGGUAGCAGAUGCUCAAAUAUGUAGUGCCUUCAGGCCUCUGUGCUGUUGUUCAUGCCGUUCUGUCUGAACGACUCCCACUACAUUUAAGGAUCAUUUGUACAAAUAUUUAUCGAGCACUACAAUAUGUACUUCAUUCAGCCUGAUUCUUCACAAGGAAUUGGCCAGUCUCAGCUGGCCACGGUGGGUCACGCCUGUAAUCCCAGCACUUUGGGAGGCUGAGGUGGGCAGAUCACCUGAGGUCAGGAGUUCAAGACCAGCCUGGCCAACAUGGUGAAACCCCAUUUUUACUAAAAAUACAAAACUUAGCUGGGCAUGGUGGUGGGUGCCUGUAAUCUCAGCUACUCAGGAGGCUGGGGCAGGAGAAUCACUUGAACCCAGGAGGCGGAGGUUGCAGUGAGCUGAGAUCGUGCUGUUGCACACCAGCCUGGGCAACAGAGUGAGAUUCUGUCUCAAAAACAGAAUUGGUGGCCGAUUGCGGUGGCUCAGGCCUGUAAUCCCCACACUUUGGGAGGCUGAGGCGGUCGGAUCAUCUGAGGUCAGGAGUUCAAGACCAGCCUGGCUAAUAUGAUGAAACUCUGUCUCUACUAAAAAUACAAAAAAAUUAGGCGUGGCGGCACACACCUGUAAUCCCAGCUACUCGCGAGGCUGAGGCAGGAAAAUCGCUUGAACCCAGGAAGCGGAGGUUGCAGUGAGCGGAGAUUACGCCACUGCUCUCCAGCCUGGGCAACAAGAGCGAAACUCUAUCUCAAAAGAAAACAAACAAAAAAAGAAUUGGCCAGCCUGAGAAGUCCAUUCCUUUGGAGUCUGUGUUACCAUUCUCAAUAAACCUAAUGAGGGCUGGCAGAGGGGAACUGGCCAGUCUCUGCUUGGGCUUCCACCGUACCUCAUGCCAUGUCACCUGUAACAGUGUUGCAGUUACCUGCUCAUGUCUUUGUCCUUGAGGGCAAGGCUCAUAUUUAUUUUUAUUUCCAGUGCUUGGCAUAUAUUAAUAGAUGCUUAAUAUGUUUGUACAAAUGAGUUAAGGUGGAGGGAGGUGAGUUGAGGCGGCACAGGUCAGCUGGCUUUGGCUUCUGUCUUCUUAGUAAGGUGAACAGUGAGUCAUCCACACAGAUUAUAAUGGUAGCAGAGCUGGAGUCUACAGCUCCUUGAGUAUGAAAGUCCCCUUGAGUGUGAAAGACCAAAUGCUGGUGGGGGGAUGAGAAGGGGAAUUAAAGGGUAAGUGGAAGAUUGCCUAAUUGCCAAAUGUACAGCUUCAGCUCAGCAUGUAAUUGUUAUGGACCCCAGUUAUCCACUCACCUAACCGUCAGUGCCCUGUGGCUCAGAGCAGCAGUGAAGCUAAGUGGGAGGUGAGGUUUGGAAGGUGAGUGCUGUGCAGCAGUCUUGGAGAUCAUAGUUAACAGUGCUGGCUCUGGGGUGGGCAGGGAGACCAUUGUUAGGUAAGUGAGGGGAGGCGGGGGUCACAGCAAACAUGAGAAACACAGCCAGGCGCUGUGGUUCACACCUGUAAUCCCAGCAUUUAGGAAGGCUGAGGUGGGAGGAUCACUGGAGGCCAGGAAUUCAAGACCAGCCUGGGCAACAUGGCCUGUGAUAUUUUGACUGUGAUCCUCUAGAGCCAGCUUGGACUCACAUCAUUCUACGGGGUUGAGACAACUCAUUCCAUCUGAGGAGCCUUGUACAUACAAGCCUUUUAUUUAUAACAACUUAUUUUGUAUUGAAACUUUUAAACAAUACUGAAGAAAAAAAAACUUUUCGAACAUCUCUGUUUUUGGUCUUUUGUGAUGCAGGUUGAAGGGGGAGGAACAGAAAAAGACAAACUGCCUUGGAGGAGAUAAACCAAUUUUAUGUCUAUCAUGUUAUACAAAAAUCUAGAAAUAAUAGAUUUGUACAGAAAAAAUGAUAAUAAAUGAGAGCGCAAAACAUAUAA